AACGAACGCUGGCGGCAUGCCUAACACAUGCAAGUCGAACGAGAUCUUCGGGUCUAGUGGCGCACGGGUGCGUAACGCGUGGGAAUCUGCCCUUUGGUUCGGAAUAACAGUUGGAAACGACUGCUAAUACCGGAUGAUGACGAAAGUCCAAAGAUUUAUCGCCAGAGGAUGAGCCCGCGUAGGAUUAGCUAGUUGGUGUGGUAAAGGCGCACCAAGGCGACGAUCCUUAGCUGGUCUGAGAGGAUGAUCAGCCACACUGGGACUGAGACACGGCCCAGACUCCUACGGGAGGCAGCAGUGGGGAAUAUUGGACAAUGGGCGAAAGCUUGAUCCAGCAAUGCCGCGUGAGUGAUGAAGGCCUUAGGGUUGUAAAGCUCUCUUACCCGGGAUGAUAAUGACAGUACCGGGAGAAUAAGCUCCGGCUAACUCCGUGCCAGCAGCCGCCGUAA
This 449-nucleotide ribosomal RNA is filed under the name uncultured bacterium. RNAcentral describes it as "partial 16S ribosomal RNA". It matches the Rfam family "Bacterial small subunit ribosomal RNA", at positions 29 to 523 of the family's 1533-position model. The record is from RNAcentral.